GACGAACGCUGGCGGCGUGCCUAAUACAUGCAAGUCGAACGAGAGCACCCGGUGCUUGCACUGGUCAAUCUAGUGGCGAACGGGUGAGUAACACGUGGGUAACCUGCCCAUCAGAGGGGGAUAACAUCCGGAAACGGAUGCUAAAACCGCAUAGGUCUUCGAACCGCAUGGUUUGAAGAGGGAAAGAGGCGCAAGCUUCUGCUGAUGGAUGGACCCGCGGUGCAUUAGCUAGUUGGUGAGGUAACGGCUCACCAAGGCCGUGAUGCAUAGCCGACCUGAGAGGGUGAUCGGCCACAUUGGGACUGAGACACGGCCCAAACUCCUACGGGAGGCAGCAGUAGGGAAUCUUCCGCAAUGGACGCAAGUCUGACGGAGCAACGCCGCGUGAGUGAAGAAGGUUUUCGGAUCGUAAAACUCUGUUGUUAGAGAAGAACAAGUGCUAGAGUAACUGUUAGCGCCUUGACGGUAUCUAACCAGAAAGCCACGGCUAACUACGUG
Molecule: ribosomal RNA, 498 nt
Filed under: uncultured bacterium
Lineage: Bacteria
Description: partial 16S ribosomal RNA
Rfam family: Bacterial small subunit ribosomal RNA
Source: RNAcentral